Cavia porcellus (domestic guinea pig) is the source of this 97-nucleotide unclassified non-coding RNA. It matches the Rfam family "Y RNA". From Rfam's summary of the family: Y RNAs are components of the Ro ribonucleoprotein particle (Ro RNP), in association with Ro60 and La proteins. The Y RNAs and Ro60 and La proteins are well conserved, but the function of the Ro RNP is not known. In humans the RNA component can be one of four small RNAs -- hY1, hY3, hY4 and hY5. The record is from Ensembl. NCBI's taxonomy places the organism in Eukaryota, Metazoa, Chordata, Mammalia, Rodentia, Caviidae.
AGCUGGUCUGAUGGCAGUGGGUUAUCAGAACUUACUAACAUUAGUGUCACUAAAGUUGGUAUACCACCCCCCCACUGCUAAAUUUGACUGGCUUUAA